Molecule: long non-coding RNA, 231 nt
Organism: Salvia miltiorrhiza (redroot sage)
Lineage: Eukaryota; Viridiplantae; Streptophyta; Magnoliopsida; Lamiales; Lamiaceae
Exons: 3
Source: RefSeq, a predicted model, not a curated record
AGAUUCCAGCUAGACACCAAAUACCAGCUACAUCGAGGUCCGGGCGACAGAAAGUGAAGCAGAAGAAGAAACGACUCCACGCCAGCUUUAAGAACAAUUGAGGUUGAGCAGGCGAUGGAAUGGAUUGGUGUUGAGCGGAUUUCCCUUUUGAUGUUUAUGUAAUGAAACCUUGAGUAUGCAUCUCCAUAUGCAUAACUCACACGUUUUUCCGCUGCAAACACUCUGAAUUUG